This 468-nucleotide ribosomal RNA is filed under the name uncultured bacterium. Its description in RNAcentral is "partial 16S ribosomal RNA". It matches the Rfam family "Bacterial small subunit ribosomal RNA", at positions 28 to 507 of the family's 1533-position model. The record is from RNAcentral.
GACGAACGCUGGCGGCGUGCUUAACACAUGCAAGUCGAACGGAAAGGCCCUGCUUUUGUGGGGUGCUCGAGUGGCGAACGGGUGAGUAACACGUGAGUAACCUGCCCUUGACUUUGGGAUAACUUCAGGAAACUGGGGCUAAUACCGGAUAGGAGCUCCUGCUGCAUGGUGGGGGUUGGAAAGUUUCGGCGGUUGGGGAUGGACUCGCGGCUUAUCAGCUUGUUGGUGGGGUAGUGGCUUACCAAGGCUUUGACGGGUAGCCGGCCUGAGAGGGUGGCCGGCCACAUUGGGACUGAGAUACGGCCCAGACGCCUACGGGAGGCAGCAGUGGGGAAUAUUGCACAAUGGGCGGAAGCCUGAUGCGGCAACGCCGCGUGCGGGAUGACGGCCUUCGGGUUGUAAACCGCUUUCGCCUGUGACGAAGCGUGAGUGACGGUAAUGGGUAAAGAAGCACCGGCUAACUACGUG